AAAGGCGCUGUGGGGUUGGAAUAUAAAUGCAGGAAGGGAGAGCUGCUGUGCAAGCCCUGUCUUUUGGAAACUCAGAACGAAUUAGUCAAACUACACUUCUGUGUGAUUACAUCUCUGGCAGCGCUGCCUCUGGAACUUACCCACUUGCUCAAGCGUGGCUGAUGCUGUAUAUUCAUGGAUGGGAAAGGACACCUUGACUCUCUUCAAACAUGACCACGUUGGAAAAAGGAGAACAACAACAACAACAAAAAUGUUUGCCGGACAGCAGGUCCAGAUGUAAGGAUUCUCAGCUCCUUCUCCAGCACCAUGUCUGCC
This is a long non-coding RNA of Onychomys torridus (southern grasshopper mouse), 315 nucleotides long. RefSeq lists it as uncharacterized. The record is from RefSeq and is a predicted model, not a curated record. Lineage: Eukaryota; Metazoa; Chordata; Mammalia; Rodentia; Cricetidae. The transcript has 3 exons.